GAUUAGUCGAGGUCAGAUGGUCCGCCAAAGGAAACGGGCAAUCUCCGUGGCAAUAGAAGGCGUCGUAUCCGGGAGGAGCAACAAUCCAAUCGUUCCAAGCAACGUCGGCAAAGUCUACGUACAGCGGAUGUCGACGACAAUUUUCUCGACCAUCCUUUCGUCUGUUCUUUCUUAAAGCUGCACGUCUCGCACGUCUAUCCAAAAUCUCUUUCCCAGAAGUCACCCUUAAUUUACCAUCGUCCAUAUAUAUAAAAGAUGCAACGUGUUGUGUCGAAAGACUAAGUUGAACAAAUAAAAAAAUACGUAGAAGAUCGGCAGAUACUAAUAAAGAAGAAGAAGAAGAACAAAUAGAAAAUUAAAGAUCAUUUAAAAGGUUUUGAACGACUAUUAAUCAGCGCGUUUCGUUUGAAUUCUUUAAUUUCCCGCCACUUAAAAUGGCGUCGUCUCCCGAGCGGUGGUCCACCGCAGAAGUAAACGUUCAUCUUCCUAAACGAUUUGGGUGGUCCAGAAUACGCAUUGGUUUCUUCGAAAAAAGAAAUGAAAGAUGAUUGUAUUUCAAUGAUUAAAAGCGCGAUUUCGCGCGUUCCUCUUUUUUAUAAAUUGAAACGUUAAAAGUGCCGGAUUCAAAUAAAGAAGCAAUGGAAGGACGAAAAAUUAUUAAUUAGAAGACGAGAGGAACGAUGGAAUACGAAAUUCGCCAACAAGACGGUGGACGUUCGUCCGUUCGUUAUUACUGACCGUUCGCAAAAGGUUAAUAAAGGAAGAAAAACAAGAGGAAGAAGAGGAAGAGGAGGAGCUAAAAAACAAUGGUUCAUUAGGUAUCCAAAAAAUGAAGAGAGAACAGAAAAGACUGAACGAUGACGUAGGAGGAGGAAAGAAAGAAAGAAAGAAAGAAAAAAGAAAGAAAGAGAGAAAGGGAUACGUAGCAGCAUGCUUGGAUCAUUGCAUUGGCGAGGGCGAGAAAGAGACAGGAAGAGAGAGAGAGAGAGAGAGAGAGAGAGGGAAAGAGGGAGAGAGGAGAAAGAGUAAGAGGGAGAAGAGAAUAAAAAGAGAAAGAUAUAGUGGUACUGGGGAGAAGAGUGGGAGCAGAGCCAAGCUGUCUGCUGACUCUGGCGAUCUCCGAGUGCCGAGGAGGCGAGCGCUCCUACGACGACAUUAAGUCUAGCUACAUCAAAGGCACUCAGGAUAUGCAAUAUGAGAUGAAAUAAAUUUCGCGCCCACGACUGAUUGAUUACCAUUUCUAUAUGGAAGAGAAAAAUAUACACGAUUGUGGCGCGAAGAUCAUCAAUACAGAGAGUGAAGAAAAUCAACAAAAGUAGUAGCAACAGCAACAACAACAGAUACAGCAAUAACAGUAGUAGCAGCAGCAAGAGCACGUCAUCGUCCAAAGUAAUCGAGCCGUGAGAUACUAAACGAAGAAGAUGACGACGAAGAGGACGACGAUGAUAAGAGGAAGGAAGUAUGUAACCAUCAAAUUAGAGAAGAUUUCAAUCUGUUCAUAGAUGGCGCUCGUCAGGAUUUUCUCUACUUUUCUAUACGGAGAAAGUUAUAAGGUUAUCUUUUUAGAUAUUCUUUUCUUUUAUAUGACUUUUUAAUACGAAUUGGUUUCGAAAUCAUUUAGUAUUAAGUUGUAAACAACGAUACGAUUGUUUUUUUAUGAUAUAUAUACGUAUAUAUGUUUUUCUACGGAUUGCGAUGGUCAAAGUUUUACAGUUUAUUUGAAGAAUAAUCUUUUAGAUUAAAAAUGUGCUACGAAGAAGUAAAA
RNAcentral lists this long non-coding RNA (1765 nucleotides) under Polistes fuscatus (common paper wasp). Its description in RNAcentral is "uncharacterized LOC122518783, transcript variant X2". The record is from RNAcentral. Lineage: Eukaryota; Metazoa; Arthropoda; Insecta; Hymenoptera; Vespidae.